Non-coding RNA from Podarcis lilfordi (Lilford's wall lizard), 119 nucleotides. The record is from the annotation of a GenBank genome assembly. NCBI's taxonomy places the organism in Eukaryota, Metazoa, Chordata, Lepidosauria, Squamata, Lacertidae.
CUUCCAGUAGCACCUUAGAGACCAACUAAGUUUGUUAUUGGUAUGAGCUUGCGUGUGCAUGCACGCUUCUUCAGAAAGCUCAUAACAAACUUAGCUGGUCUCUAAGGUGCUACUGGAAG